AUUGAACGCUGGCGGCAUGCUUUACACAUGCAAGUCGAACGGUAACAGGUUAAGCUGACGAGUGGCGAACGGGUGAGUAAUGCAUCGGAACGUGCCCGGUCGUGGGGGAUAACGCAGCGAAAGCUGCGCUAAUACCGCAUACGAUCUGAGGAUGAAAGCGGGGGACCGGAAGGCCUCGCGCGAUCGGAGCGGGCGAUGUCAGAUUAGGUAGUUGGUGGGGUAAAGGCUCACCAAGCCGACGAUCUGUAGCUGGUCUGAGAGGACGACCAGCCACACUGGGACUGAGACACGGCCCAGACUCCUACGGGAGGCAGCAGUGGGGAAUUUUGGACAAUGGGCGCAAGCCUGAUCCAGCAAUGCCGCGUGCAGGAAGAAGGCCUUCGGGUUGUAAACUGCUUUUGUACGGAGCGAAAAGGCUCCCUCUAAUACAGGGGGCUCAUGACGGUACCGUAAGAAUAAGCACCGGCUAACUACGUGCCAGCCGCCGCAGUAA
RNAcentral lists this ribosomal RNA (493 nucleotides) under uncultured bacterium. RNAcentral describes it as "partial 16S ribosomal RNA". It matches the Rfam family "Bacterial small subunit ribosomal RNA", at positions 29 to 523 of the family's 1533-position model. The record is from RNAcentral.